Molecule: long non-coding RNA, 953 nt
Organism: Pyrus x bretschneideri (Chinese white pear)
Lineage: Eukaryota; Viridiplantae; Streptophyta; Magnoliopsida; Rosales; Rosaceae
Exons: 2
Source: RefSeq, a predicted model, not a curated record
AACUAGGAGGCAAGCAUGCCUUCUCCAAGCAUGACCAAGCAGAGAACGAGCAGUGUGAAAAUUUUUGGGGUCGAAUUGUGCCCUGACAAUGUGGCUGUUGCCAUGGUAUUUUGUUCAAGGUGUCCUAGGCCUUGCAGGGCUUGCUGUCGGUUUUUAUCUUUCCAUUUAAAAGACGAUUUGCAUCUCGACCUGGCUGAGUGAAUCGUACAGAUCAAUUAAAUUCUGGGCGGCGAAUCUUCACCAUUGAUGAAAUUGUGUUUCUAUGUUUAACUUCUACAGGUGCGUCCUCUGUAUAUUUCUAUAAUUUCAAUUUCUCAAAUCGCUAUUGUUUAUUAGAUUUUACUUUCGAUAUGGUUACUAUUGUUUAUGGUUUAUAAAAAAAAUCUUUGUUUAUGCUAUUGGUUUGGUUAAUCUUGUAUAGUAUGUAUUUGCAGAAUUAUACGCAGUGGCUCUAUUUAGUAGGUUCAUAAUCUAAUCAUGUGUUUAUCUUUUCUCAAAGGACCCCUCUUAUUAUAAUUUUGUCUAGAGUUCAAUUGCAAAGGAAUGCAUGAGUAGAAAGGUUUAGAGGCAGAAACUCUAUUUACUUUUCUUGAUUGAGAUCAAAUGUAUACUUCCACCUAUACGAGUACAAUAUUUUUUUUUUCUUGUGAUCCAUAUGCUUAUGUCCAUGCAAAUAGAGAGAGGCAGCAAUUGCUGAGGCUCAAGUAUUAGGGGCAGUAGUUCACUCUCAAGGUCCUUUGUUUGGAGAUGUUCAAAGAAAUCUGAAGUCUUCAAGUGUUCUUGUUAUUGGAGACCUAUUUGAUGCUUUGUGGAUAGUUUGAUAUUUCUAGUACAACUCGUCGUUAGCUUUAGUGUGCAGUUUGCAAUAUUUGAUUUUGUGAUUUCUUUAUGUAAUUAUUGUAUUGUAGUAAAUUUGUUUAUAUAUUAAAUGAUUUAUUAUUAUUAUUAUUUGA